AAGUUCCGACCCGCACGAAAGGCGUAACGAUUUGGGCACUGUCUCAACGAGAGACUCGGUGAAAUCAUAGUACCUGUGAAGAUGCAGGUUACCCGCGACAGGACGGAAAGACCCCGUGGAGCUUUACUGUAGCCUGAUAUUGAAAUUCGGCACAGCUUGUACAGGAUAGGUAGGAGCCUUUGAAACGUGAGCGCUAGCUUACGUGGAGGCGCUGGUGGGAUACUACCCUAGCUGUGUUGGCUUUCUAACCCGCACCACUUAUCGUGGUGGGAGACAGUGUCAGGCGGGCAGUUUGACUGGGGCGGGCGCCUCCUAAAAGGUAACGGAGGCGCUCAAAGGUUCCCUCAGAAUGGUUGGAAA
RNAcentral lists this ribosomal RNA (360 nucleotides) under Staphylococcus aureus. RNAcentral's name for it is "partial 23S ribosomal RNA". It matches the Rfam family "Bacterial large subunit ribosomal RNA", at positions 1978 to 2337 of the family's 2925-position model. Lineage: Bacteria; Bacillati; Bacillota; Bacilli; Caryophanales; Staphylococcaceae. The record is from RNAcentral.